This is an RNA transcript of Nyctereutes procyonoides (raccoon dog), 2235 nucleotides long. It is a transcript of the gene named adaptor related protein complex 1 subunit sigma 2, with no coding region annotated. The record is from RefSeq and is a predicted model, not a curated record. Lineage: Eukaryota; Metazoa; Chordata; Mammalia; Carnivora; Canidae. The transcript is spliced from 6 exons.
GGGUCUGUCGGCUCGCCCUCCCCUCGCCGCCUAAGCCUUUCCUCCGCCGGCUGGGUCCCCUCCCCACAGCAACACGGCUUCUCUUCCAGCGCUCGGCGACAGGGGCUUCCCCUCAGCCGCCGCCGGCACCGCCGCCGCCGCCGCCGCCGCCGCCGCCGGCCGAGCUCCGCCGCGCCCGCGGCCCGCGGCCGCCAUGCAGUUUAUGUUGCUUUUUAGUCGUCAGGGAAAGCUUCGACUGCAAAAAUGGUAUGUCCCACUAUCAGACAAAGAGAAGAAAAAGAUUACAAGAGAACUUGUUCAAACCGUUUUAGCACGGAAACCUAAAAUGUGCAGCUUUCUUGAGUGGCGUGAUCUGAAGAUUGUUUACAAAAGAUAUGCUAGUCUGUAUUUUUGCUGUGCUAUCGAGGAUCAGGACAAUGAGCUAAUUACCCUGGAAAUAAUUCAUCGUUAUGUGGAAUUACUUGACAAGUAUUUUGGCAGCGUAUGUGAACUUGAUAUCAUCUUUAAUUUUGAGAAGGCUUAUUUUAUUUUGGAUGAAUUUCUUUUGGGAGGGGAAGUUCAGGAAACAUCCAAGAAAAAUGUCCUUAAAGCAAUUGAGCAGGCUGAUCUACUGCAGGAGAGCCAGAAUGAAGAAUGGGGAGGUUUGUCUGAGGAUAUCUUAUGAUAAAGAGCAGUCUAAGGCUUUAGUCCUUUUGACCCCCAACUUAUUUAUUGGAAGCUGAAACCCCACGUAGUGUUCUUGAAGAAAUUGGACUGACAUAACUCUCCUCCCUUGUUGAUGACUUCUUGUGGCAUUUCACACACUGUAGAUGGUCACUGCCUUCAUGUCCAUGUUAGCUAAUGGUAUAAGAUGACGUCUUGUCAGUAUUACUGUUUUGCUAAAGCUGCUUCAUUCAGGCCUACACAAUUUUUUUUUAAGGGAACUUUGGUUAAUCAAGGGAUAAGGAAUUUAAAUACAAAUUAGAAUGAUGCAGAAAAAGAAAGGUACCUUUUCUGGAUAUUUUAAAGUUUAUAGAAUCUGUUUCUCUCAAUCUGAUCAUGUAUCUAUGAGAAUAACACACAAUCAGGCAAUAUACAUUAAUUAAUCACCGUCUUUGGCAAAGGCAACUGUUAAAUUAGAAUAUGAAACCUGGUUUUAUGAAACCAAAGACUAGCGUGUAGCAUUUCAGUAUAUAUGAGAAUAAAGGGAACUGAUACAUAUCAAAUGAAUUAAAAUUUAACUGUUGAGACUUUAAGAAAAAAAAAAAGAACCAAAUUUAUACCAAAGAUCCUUAUUGGAAACUAUAUACUUAAAAGGGAAUACACAAAUGACUAAAUUGAAAUGAUGUGUUUUACACUAAAAUUAUUUCUCCGGCAUUCCAAACCGGGGACGAGGAACAGAGGUUGUUUAAUAGUGAGCAUGUUAUGUUUAAAGCUAAGGAACAUUCAACUCGAGACAGAUUUUUUUGUGGUCAUAACCAUUUAGUGACUUAAAUGGUUUUUUGAUGCCCCCAAGUAAAAUGGAAAGACUGACCUACCAGAAUUCUUCAUAACAGUAUCUUACGGAAAAUGUGUUCUCGUCACAAAGUGUUGCCUAAGUCAUUGUUUAAAGCACGAAUAUUACUCCUGGGGUGCUUUUGCUUCCCUCCACUUGUAAGUGCUGCAAACUUUAGGGCAGCUUCCUUCCCUUCCAUGGCACUGCCUAGUUAGCAGAAAUGUUAAAAAGCAGACACCACCUUUCAUGUAAAAUUGAGAGUUGAAUGAAGUAAAAUGGCAUUAGUGGGCCCUAUGUUUUCUUAAAGCUAUACAAUUGUUUCAGUGUCACUUUUAUACAUACUUUAAUGUAUGUAAACGUAUCUUCAUGAUUUAUACUUUCAUUUGUAUCUGCUGGGCUGGAUUAAGCUUUGUUGUGAUUGUGACCAAUACAUUCAGGCCAUGUUAGCACUGUCUUAUCACAUCACCAAUUAGUUGUAAUAAAUGUUCAAUGUACACCACUGUAGUGUGUUUUUAUCUUUCUCUUUACAAAAGUCUGUCAAACUAUGGGGAGCUGCUGAAAGAAUUUUAAAGUUUUUUCAGUAAAAUGUUGAAAAUUCACCUCCAUUUGAAGGUGGUUGCUAAAAGCACACACGAGAUAAAUGAUGGAAGAUGUAAGGAGUUUUCAUGUACUUUGAGCUCACUAGGAAAUAAUGUGGCUUCCACGCUGAGAGCUUAUCUACACAUUUAUUUUCAAUCAAUAAAUGCCGCUUUUAAAACCUU